UGCCAGCCGCCGCGGUAAUACGGAGGGUGCAAGCGUUAUCCGGAAUCACUGGGUUUAAAGGGUGCGUAGGCGGAUUAGUAAGUUAGGGGUGAAAUCCCGGGGCUCAACCCCGGAACUGCCUCUAAUACUGCUAGUCUUGAGUUCGAGAGAGGUGAGUGGAAUUCCGAGUGUAGAGGUGAAAUUCAUAGAUACCAUAAAGAACACCAAUAGCGAAGGCAGCUUACUAGACUGUAACUGACGCUGAGGCACGAAAGCGUGGGUAGCGAACAGGAUUAGAUA
This 279-nucleotide ribosomal RNA is filed under the name uncultured bacterium. Its description in RNAcentral is "partial 16S ribosomal RNA". It matches the Rfam family "Bacterial small subunit ribosomal RNA", at positions 506 to 784 of the family's 1533-position model. The record is from RNAcentral.